Cinara cedri is the source of this 324-nucleotide non-coding RNA. The record is from the annotation of a GenBank genome assembly. Lineage: Eukaryota; Metazoa; Arthropoda; Insecta; Hemiptera; Aphididae.
AAAUUUUAUCAUAAAAUUGAACUUAUAUAAACCACAUAUUGUGUAACUGUAUAGAUUUUUAAAAUAUGUUUACGUAUUAUAUGGUUGGAAAGUUAAUUAUAGACUAAGAAAAAAUACACAUCCUGACGUAAAAGUAAUAAUAUAAAUUACACAUCGAUUAUUUAUGUAUUGGACUUGUUUCUAGACUCUUUUUUUGUCUCUUCCUGCUACAGUUUGAUAAAAAUGCAUUAGUUAACAUUAGUCACAAGGUAGAUAUUGUUAUUUUAGACAAACUUUUUAUUCUAUCAAUCCCGAAUGAAACUGUUGGCGCCUAUUUAGGUUAGU